This 422-nucleotide long non-coding RNA is filed under the name Cucumis sativus (cucumber). RNAcentral's name for it is "long non-coding RNA (CSAT_LNC000531)". Lineage: Eukaryota; Viridiplantae; Streptophyta; Magnoliopsida; Cucurbitales; Cucurbitaceae. The record is from RNAcentral.
CGAUAAAAGAGUAAACACAAUGAUAUAUAGUGGUUCGAUCAAUUCGGUUUACAUCCACUUUGAGAACCGACUUGGAGAGAUUUUAUUAAGAGCAAAAUAUGAUACAAUUACAGAGUUCAGCACAAUAAGUAAUCUAUAAUCAACCACGACAAAACAGACUAUACCGUCCAUAAAAUGCCAAGAGAGACCAAGAGACCCACACUGAACUGAUGUUGAGACCCAAACUCAACACUUAGACCUGACGGAAUACAACUCUGAAACAAGUCUGAAGCAAGAAAGUUGCUUCUGCCCGAAGCCAAUCACCAAUGGAGUAACGCCGCAAACGAGCAUUGUUCACCGUUGUGUAGGAACUCCGACGUCAAUGCUCGUCAAACGUCUUUGUUUCUCCCUCACUCUCUUCUUUGCGUUAACUGUCGGUUGCC